AGGCAGUGUAGUUAGCUGAUUGCCCAAAGCAACAAUCACUAGCCACACGGCCAGG
RNAcentral lists this microRNA precursor (55 nucleotides) under Taeniopygia guttata (zebra finch). RNAcentral describes it as "Tgu-Mir-34-P2b_pre stem-loop". Lineage: Eukaryota; Metazoa; Chordata; Aves; Passeriformes; Estrildidae. The record is from RNAcentral.